ACAUGGGCCUGAGUGUGGCUCAACCAACCUCUGUGCACCCAUAGGUAGGUUUUUAAUCAAUUGUUUCACCAAAUAAUAUCUAGCAAUUAAUUUUACCCCAGUUACCUCUUCAGCAAGCGUGUGGUGCCUCCAUUGAAAGUUCUGAUUAGGUCCAACUAUUAAUAUGUUAGAAUUCAGCACAUCUGACAAACGAAUGAUCAGGUUUGAGUGUGGCUCGACCAACCUGGCCAUCAUUAAAAAGAUACAUCUAAAUCAACAUAUUAUGAAUGAUAAUUUUGACAGCCAGAUGAGCACCAGGUGUGUGGCACCUCUAAUGAUCAUCUAAACUG
Molecule: long non-coding RNA, 329 nt
Filed under: Elaeis guineensis (African oil palm)
Lineage: Eukaryota; Viridiplantae; Streptophyta; Magnoliopsida; Arecales; Arecaceae
Description: long non-coding RNA (EGUI_LNC047574)
Source: RNAcentral